This 478-nucleotide ribosomal RNA is filed under the name uncultured bacterium. RNAcentral's name for it is "partial 16S ribosomal RNA". It matches the Rfam family "Bacterial small subunit ribosomal RNA", at positions 28 to 523 of the family's 1533-position model. The record is from RNAcentral.
GACGAACGCUGGCGGUAUGCCUAACACAUGCAAGUCGAGCGAGCAGAUCCCUUCGGGGUGAAGCUAGCGGCGGACGGGUGAGUAACACGUGGGCAACCUGCCUCAUAGAGGGGAAUAGCCUUCCGAAAGGAAGAUUAAUACCGCAUAAGAUUACAGCUUCGCAUGAAGCAGUAAUUAAAGGAGCAAUCCGCUAUGAGAUGGGCCCGCGGCGCAUUAGCUAGUUGGUGAGGUAACGGCUCACCAAGGCGACGAUGCGUAGCCGACCUGAGAGGGUGAUCGGCCACAUUGGGACUGAGACACGGCCCAGACUCCUACGGGAGGCAGCAGUGGGGAAUAUUGCACAAUGGGGGAAACCCUGAUGCAGCAAUGCCGCGUGAGUGAUGACGGCCUUCGGGUUGUAAAGCUCUGUCUUCGGGGACGAUAAUGACGGUACCCGAGGAGGAAGCCACGGCUAACUACGUGCCAGCCGCCGCCGUAA